Molecule: small nuclear RNA, 200 nt
Organism: Octopus sinensis (East Asian common octopus)
Lineage: Eukaryota; Metazoa; Mollusca; Cephalopoda; Octopoda; Octopodidae
Product: U2 spliceosomal RNA
Exons: 1
Source: RefSeq, a predicted model, not a curated record
UUAACAGCUGCUGCCUUUUGGCUAAGAUCAAAUGGUAGUGUCUGUUCUUAUCAGCUUAAUAUCUGAUAUGGUCCCUAUUUGGGUGAUGGGCAUCGAUAUUAAACUGAUUUUUAGAACAAGGUGAAGAGUUAGGAGCUUGCUCUGCCUUUUCCACAAGUUUGCCUGGUCUUGCAGUACUUUCAGGAAUCAGCCCAUUUAAC